CACCCUCCAAUCCAGUAGGGGGCGGGAAAGCACCUUCUACGUUGGCUGCCAAACGCCAAUAAACACCAAAGAAGAAAGAAAGCAGAACACGUGUUUUUGUAUCCUCUGUGAAGUCGUCAGCUUUUCUUUUCCAGGCUAAAAUGUCAGAAUUUCCAGAUUCUACGUGCAAAACAAAUGUUAUUAUAUCUGGUCUUAAAAAUCUUAUGAUUCAGAUGUUUACUGAUCGGCCUAGAAUCAGACUGAAAUACUUCAGUGGAACACGUGGGUGGAGGUGAACAGAUGAAGAAGAGGAAUGAAGGUGGAUUCAUAGUUCAUGAUGACCAGAGACUUCAUGUUUCAUAAGAAAUCUGAGAUCUGUAUCUAAAGUCUGCAUUAAAUCAGAUACAUCAUUUACAGAUAAUCUCUAAUGAUUUUGGAUCCUGGGGUCCUGAUGCCUUGGGAUUAUCGGAGAUCAGGAUCCAUUAAUGAUGUUCUGGAUUUGUGAGAAGAGACAAGAUUGAAGCUUUAAAUUCAUUUUGCUGUAUACUAUGCUGUAGGUAGUGUGUAGUCUACUGUAGUUUGAUGGACAUUUCUGGUCUAUAUAUAUCGUACUGCUCUUAUGUAAAUGUUUUAUAACACAACUCUGUAUUAAAGCUGCAGGAAAUAUUAAACUAUAUUUGAGACUAA
Tachysurus fulvidraco (yellow catfish) is the source of this 666-nucleotide long non-coding RNA. RefSeq lists it as uncharacterized. The record is from RefSeq and is a predicted model, not a curated record. The transcript has 4 exons. NCBI's taxonomy places the organism in Eukaryota, Metazoa, Chordata, Actinopteri, Siluriformes, Bagridae.